UACAGAGGUCUCAAGCGUUGUUCGGAUUCAUUGGGCGUAAAGGGUGCGUAGGCGGAUUGUUAAGUCAGGGGUGAAAUCCUGGAGCUCAACUCCAGAACUGCCUUUGAUACUGGCAAUCUCGAGUCCGGAAGAGGUAAGUGGAACUCCUAGUGUAGAGGUGGAAUUCGUAGAUAUUAGGAAGAACACCAGUGGCGAAGGCGGCUUACUGGUCCGGAACUGACGCUGAGGUGCGAAAGCGUGGGGAGCGAACAGG
RNAcentral lists this ribosomal RNA (253 nucleotides) under uncultured bacterium. RNAcentral describes it as "partial 16S ribosomal RNA". It matches the Rfam family "Bacterial small subunit ribosomal RNA", at positions 524 to 776 of the family's 1533-position model. The record is from RNAcentral.